This 21-nucleotide non-coding RNA is filed under the name Caenorhabditis elegans. The record is from RNAcentral. Lineage: Eukaryota; Metazoa; Nematoda; Chromadorea; Rhabditida; Rhabditidae.
UGCUUCGAUUGAUUGCUCACU